This is a long non-coding RNA of Camellia sinensis, 514 nucleotides long. RefSeq lists it as uncharacterized. NCBI's taxonomy places the organism in Eukaryota, Viridiplantae, Streptophyta, Magnoliopsida, Ericales, Theaceae. The record is from RefSeq and is a predicted model, not a curated record.
UCUCUCUCUCUCUCUCUCUCUCUCUCUCUCUCUCUCUCUUCGUUAGACCCACCCUCUGCUCCGCCUCUCCCUCGCACUCCGGCGACGUCCUUUCGUCCCUCAGUCUCAUCUCACUUCCUAAAGGCAGAAAUGCAGAGCUUUCAGCUUUCCCAUAUUGUAGUUACUAAACCGCGUUAAAUCGUCAGAGAAUAGUACGCCAUCUGGCGAAAUGAGGCGGCGAAGAGCAAGGAUAAACCGGGCCUGAAAAAAGGGUGCGGGGAAAUUUCUUUGCUCAUUCAGACAAGUUCAAAUAGAGAAAGUUCACACGAUUGCUGGAAAUGUUUUUCUUACCCAUUGAAAUCCCACGAGUGCACACCAGCAGCCUGGCAGACCGUAUCCUCUACUGCUGACAAGCUGUCAAGGAAAAAGUAAAAAAGAAGAAAAAAACAAGUAUUGUUAAUGGCUUAAGUAAGUAACUUAAGAGGUUGAUGGAAGAGAAAUUUAUUUAUUUGUUGGGUUUGUUCUCUUUUUGCUA